Molecule: ribosomal RNA, 953 nt
Filed under: uncultured bacterium
Lineage: Bacteria
Description: bacterial SSU rRNA
Rfam family: Bacterial small subunit ribosomal RNA
Source: RNAcentral
CGGCUAANUACGUGCCAGCAGCCGCGGUAAUACGUAGGUCCCGAGCGUUNUCCGGAUUUAUUGGGCGUAAAGGGAGCGCAGGCGGUCAGGAAAGUCUGGAGUAAAAGGCUAUGGCUCAACCAUAGUGUGCUNUGGAAACUGUCUGACUUGAGUGCAGAAGGGGAGAGUGGAAUUCCAUGUGUAGCGGUGAAAUGCGUAGAUAUAUGGAGGAACACCAGUGGCGAAAGCGGCUCUCUGGUCUGUCACUGACGCUGAGGCUCGAAAGCGUGGGUAGCGAACAGGAUUAGAUACCCUGGUAGUCCACGCCGUAAACGAUGAGUGCUAGGUGUUAGGCCCUUUCCGGGGCUUAGUGCCGGAGCUAACGCAAUAAGCACUCCGCCUGGGGAGUACGACCGCAAGGUUGAAACUCAAAGGAAUUGACGGGGGCCCGCACAAGCGGUGGAGCAUGUGGUUUAAUUCGAAGCAACGCGAAGAACCUUACCAGGUCUUGACAUCCCGAUGCUAUUCUUAGAGAUAGGAAGUUACUUCGGUACAUCGGAGACAGGUGGUGCAUGGUUGUCGUCAGCUCGUGUCGUGAGAUGUUGGGUUAAGUCCCGCAACGAGCGCAACCCUUAUUGUUAGUUGCCAUCAUUAAGUUGGGCACUCUAGCGAGACUGCCGGUAAUAAACCGGAGGAAGGUGGGGAUGACGUCAAAUCAUCAUGCCCCUUAUGACCUGGGCUACACACGUGCUACAAUGGUCGGUACAACGAGUUGCGAGCCGGUGACGGCAAGCUAAUCUCUGAAAGCCGAUCUCAGUUCGGAUUGGAGGCUGCAACUCGCCUCCAUGAAGUCGGAAUCGCUAGUAAUCGCGGAUCAGCACGCCGCGGUGAAUACGUUCCCGGGCCUUGUACACACCGCCCGUCACACCACGAGAGUUUGUAACACCCGAAGUCGGUGAGGUANCCUUUUAGGG